ACUUAAAUAGCUUAUAUAGAGCAUAAUAUUGAAGAUAUUAAGGAAAUAAUUAUAUUUUUAAGUA
RNAcentral lists this transfer RNA (64 nucleotides) under Psacothea hilaris. Its description in RNAcentral is "tRNA-Phe". Lineage: Eukaryota; Metazoa; Arthropoda; Insecta; Coleoptera; Cerambycidae. The record is from RNAcentral.